CUAAUACAUGCAAGUCGAGCGGACAGAUGGGAGCUUGCUCCCUGAUGUUAGCGGCGGACGGGUGAGUAACACGUGGGUAACCUGCCUGUAAGACUGGGAUAACUCCGGGAAACCGGGGCUAAUACCGGAUGCUUGUUUGAACCGCAUGGUUCAAACAUAAAAGGUGGCUUCGGCUACCACUUACAGAUGGACCCGCGGCGCAUUAGCUAGUUGGUGAGGUAAUGGCUCACCAAGGCAACGAUGCGUAGCCGACCUGAGAGGGUGAUCGGCCACACUGGGACUGAGACACGGCCCAGACUCCUACGGGAGGCAGCAGUAGGGAAUCUUCCGCAAUGGACGAAAGUCUGACGGAGCAACGCCGCGUGAGUGAUGAAGGUUUUCGGAUCGUAAAGCUCUGUUGUUAGGGAAGAACAAGUACCGUUCGAAUAGGGCGGUACCUUGACGGUACCUAACCAGAAAGCCACGGCUAACUACGUGCCAGCAGCCGCGGUAAUACGUAGGUGGCAAGCGUUGUCCGGAAUUAUUGGGCGUAAAGGGCUCGCAGGCGGUUUCUUAAGUCUGAUGUGAAAGCCCCCGGCUCA
This 581-nucleotide ribosomal RNA is filed under the name Bacillus subtilis. RNAcentral describes it as "bacterial SSU rRNA". It matches the Rfam family "Bacterial small subunit ribosomal RNA", at positions 48 to 611 of the family's 1533-position model. Lineage: Bacteria; Bacillati; Bacillota; Bacilli; Caryophanales; Bacillaceae. The record is from RNAcentral.